AGGGACUUGGUGAGGCCGAUGAUGCCGGCCUUGGCGGAGCCGUAGUUCACCUGGCCGAUCGUGCCGGUCAGCCCCGC
RNAcentral lists this transfer RNA (77 nucleotides) under Citricoccus zhacaiensis. Its description in RNAcentral is "tRNA-Ala". Lineage: Bacteria; Bacillati; Actinomycetota; Actinomycetes; Micrococcales; Micrococcaceae. The record is from RNAcentral.